RNAcentral lists this ribosomal RNA (813 nucleotides) under Serratia marcescens. RNAcentral's name for it is "bacterial SSU rRNA". It matches the Rfam family "Bacterial small subunit ribosomal RNA", at positions 606 to 1414 of the family's 1533-position model. Lineage: Bacteria; Pseudomonadati; Pseudomonadota; Gammaproteobacteria; Enterobacterales; Yersiniaceae. The record is from RNAcentral.
GGCUCCACCUGGGGAACUGCAUCUGAAACUGGCAAGCUAGAGUCUCGUAGAGGGGGGGUAGACUUCCAGUGUAGCGGGUGAAAUGCGUAGAGAUCUGGAGGAAUACCGGUGGCGAAGGCGGCCCCCUGGACGAAGACUGACGCUCAGGUGCGAAAGCGUGGGGAGCAAACAGGAUUAGAUACCCCUGGUAGUGCACGCUGUAAACGAUGUCGAUUUGGAGGUUGUGCCCUUGAGGCGUGGCUUCCGGAGCUAACGCGUUAAAUCGACCGCCUGGGGAGUACGGCCGCAAGGUUAAAACUCAAAUGAAUUGACGGGGGCCCGCACAAGCGGUGGAGCAUGUGGUUUAAUUCGAUGCAACGCGAAGAACCUUACCUACUCUUGACAUCCAGAGAACUUUCCAGAGAUGGAUUGGUGCCUUCGGGAACUCUGAGACAGGUGCUGCAUGGCUGUCGUCAGCUCGUGUUGUGAAAUGUUGGGUUAAGUCCCGCAACGAGCGCAACCCUUAUCCUUUGUUGCCAGCGGUUCGGCCGGGAACUCAAAGGAGACUGCCAGUGAUAAACUGGAGGAAGGUGGGGAUGACGUCAAGUCAUCAUGGCCCUUACGAGUAGGGCUACACACGUGCUACAAUGGCGUAUACAAAGAGAAGCGACCUCGCGAGAGCAAGCGGACCUCAUAAAGUAUGUCGUAGUCCGGAUUGGAGUCUGCAACUCGACUCCAUGAAGUCGGAAUCGCUAGUAAUCGUAGAUCAGAAUGCUACGGUGAAUACGUUAGCGCGGGCCUUGUAAACUCCGCCCAGUCUACCACCCCCCCUCG